This 2774-nucleotide ribosomal RNA is filed under the name Escherichia coli. RNAcentral's name for it is "bacterial LSU rRNA". It matches the Rfam family "Bacterial large subunit ribosomal RNA". Lineage: Bacteria; Pseudomonadati; Pseudomonadota; Gammaproteobacteria; Enterobacterales; Enterobacteriaceae. The record is from RNAcentral.
AGCGUACACGGUGGAUGCCCUGGCAGUCAGAGGCGAUGAAGGACGUGCUAAUCUGCGAUAAGCGUCGGUGAGGUGAUAUGAACCGUUAUAACCGGCGAUUUCCGAAUGGGGAAACCCAGUGUGUUUCGACACACUAUCAUUAACUGAAUCCAUAGGUUAAUGAGGCGAACCGGGGGAACUGAAACAUCUAAGUACCCCGAGGAAAAGAAAUCAACCGAGAUUCCCCCAGUAGCGGCGAGCGAACGGGGAGGAGCCCAGAGCCUGAAUCAGUGUGUGUGUUAGUGGAAGCGUCUGGAAAGGCGCGCGAUACAGGGUGACAGCCCCGUACACAAAAAUGCACAUGCUGUGAGCUCGAUGAGUAGGGCGGGACACGUGGUAUCCUGUCUGAAUAUGGGGGGACCAUCCUCCAAGGCUAAAUACUCCUGACUGACCGAUAGUGAACCAGUACCGUGAGGGAAAGGCGAAAAGAACCCCGGCGAGGGGAGUGAAAAAGAACCUGAAACCGUGUACGUACAAGCAGUGGGAGCCUCUUAAUGGGGUGACUGCGUACCUUUUGUAUAAUGGGUCAGCGACUUAUAUUCUGUAGCAAGGUUAACCGAAUAGGGGAGCCGAAGGGAAACCGAGUCUUAACUGGGCGUUAAGUUGCAGGGUAUAGACCCGAAACCCGGUGAUCUAGCCAUGGGCAGGUUGAAGGUUGGGUAACACUAACUGGAGGACCGAACCGACUAAUGUUGAAAAAUUAGCGGAUGACUUGUGGCUGGGGGUGAAAGGCCAAUCAAACCGGGAGAUAGCUGGUUCUCCCCGAAAGCUAUUUAGGUAGCGCCUCGUGAAUUCAUCUCCGGGGGUAGAGCACUGUUUCGGCAAGGGGGUCAUCCCGACUUACCAACCCGAUGCAAACUGCGAAUACCGGAGAAUGUUAUCACGGGAGACACACGGCGGGUGCUAACGUCCGUCGUGAAGAGGGAAACAACCCAGACCGCCAGCUAAGGUCCCAAAGUCAUGGUUAAGUGGGAAACGAUGUGGGAAGGCCCAGACAGCCAGGAUGUUGGCUUAGAAGCAGCCAUCAUUUAAAGAAAGCGUAAUAGCUCACUGGUCGAGUCGGCCUGCGCGGAAGAUGUAACGGGGCUAAACCAUGCACCGAAGCUGCGGCAGCGACGCUUAUGCGUUGUUGGGUAGGGGAGCGUUCUGUAAGCCUGCGAAGGUGUACUGUGAGGUAUGCUGGAGGUAUCAGAAGUGCGAAUGCUGACAUAAGUAACGAUAAAGCGGGUGAAAAGCCCGCUCGCCGGAAGACCAAGGGUUCCUGUCCAACGUUAAUCGGGGCAGGGUGAGUCGACCCCUAAGGCGAGGCCGAAAGGCGUAGUCGAUGGGAAACAGGUUAAUAUUCCUGUACUUGGUGUUACUGCGAAGGGGGGACGGAGAAGGCUAUGUUGGCCGGGCGACGGUUGUCCCGGUUUAAGCGUGUAGGCUGGUUUUCCAGGCAAAUCCGGAAAACUAAGGCUGAGGCGUGAUGACGAGGCACUACGGUGCUGAAGCAACAAAUGCCCUGCUUCCAGGAAAAGCCUCUAAGCAUCAGGUAACAUCAAAUCGUACCCCAAACCGACACAGGUGGUCAGGUAGAGAAUACCAAGGCGCUUGAGAGAACUCGGGUGAAGGAACUAGGCAAAAUGGUGCCGUAACUUCGGGAGAAGGCACGCUGAUAUGUAGGUGAAGCGACUUGCUCGUGGAGCUGAAAUCAGUCGAAGAUACCAGCUGGCUGCAACUGUUUAUUAAAAACACAGCACUGUGCAAACACGAAAGUGGACGUAUACGGUGUGACGCCUGCCCGGUGCCGGAAGGUUAAUUGAUGGGGUUAGCGGUAACGCGAAGCUCUUGAUCGAAGCCCCGGUAAACGGCGGCCGUAACUAUAACGGUCCUAAGGUAGCGAAAUUCCUUGUCGGGUAAGUUCCGACCUGCACGAAUGGCGUAAUGAUGGCCAGGCUGUCUCCACCCGAGACUCAGUGAAAUUGAACUCGCUGUGAAGAUGCAGUGUACCCGCGGCAAGACGGAAAGACCCCGUGAACCUUUACUAUAGCUUGACACUGAACAUUGAGCCUUGAUGUGUAGGAUAGGUGGGAGGCUUUGAAGUGUGGACGCCAGUCUGCAUGGAGCCGGCCUUGAAAUACCACCCUUUAAUGUUUGAUGUUCUAACGUUGGCCCCUGAUCGGGGUUGCGGACAGUGUCUGGUGGGUAGUUUGACUGGGGCGGUCUCCUCCUAAAGAGUAACGGAGGAGCACGAAGGUUGGCUAAUCCUGGUCGGACAUCAGGAGGUUAGUGCAAUGGCAUAAGCCAGCUUGACUGCGAGCGUGACGGCGCGAGCAGGUGCGAAAGCAGGUCAUAGUGAUCCGGUGGUUCUGAAUGGAAGGGCCAUCGCUCAACGGAUAAAAGGUACUCCGGGGAUAACAGGCUGAUACCGCCCAAGAGUUCAUAUCGACGGCGGUGUUUGGCACCUCGAUGUCGGCUCAUCACAUCCUGGGGCUGAAGUAGGUCCCAAGGGUAUGGCUGUUCGCCAUUUAAAGUGGUACGCGAGCUGGGUUUAGAACGUCGUGAGACAGUUCGGUCCCUAUCUGCCGUGGGCGCUGGAGAACUGAGGGGGGCUGCUCCUAGUACGAGAGGACCGGAGUGGACGCAUCACUGGUGUUCGGGUUGUCAUGCCAAUGGCACUGCCCGGUAGCUAAAUGCGGAAGAGAUAAGUGCUGAAAGCAUCUAAGCACGAAACUUGCCCCGAGAUGAGUUCU